This 502-nucleotide ribosomal RNA is filed under the name uncultured bacterium. RNAcentral's name for it is "bacterial SSU rRNA". It matches the Rfam family "Bacterial small subunit ribosomal RNA", at positions 28 to 550 of the family's 1533-position model. The record is from RNAcentral.
GACGAACGCUGGCGGCGUGCUUAACACAUGCAAGUCGAACGAUGAAGUCUCUUCGGAGGCGGAUUAGUGGCGAACGGGUGAGUAACACGUGGGCAAUCUGCCCUGCACUCUGGGACAAGCCCUGGAAACGGGUCUAAUACCGGAUAUGACCGUCUUGGGCAUCCUUGAUGGUGUAAAGCUCCGGCGGUGCAGGAUGAGCCCGCGGCCUAUCAGCUUGUUGGUGAGGUAACGGCUCACCAAGGCGACGACGGGUAGCCGGCCUGAGAGGGCGACCGGCCACACUGGGACUGAGACACGGCCCAGACUCCUACGGGAGGCAGCAGUGGGGAAUAUUGCACAAUGGGCGCAAGCCUGAUGCAGCGACGCCGCGUGAGGGAUGACGGCCUCGGUUGGUAAGCUCUUCAUGCGGAAGAGCGAAAGCGAGACGGUACCUCAGAAGAAGCGCCGGCUAACUACGUGCCAGCAGCCGCGGUGAUACGUAGGGCGCAAGCGUUGUCCGGAA